CCUACGGGUGGCAGCAGUGGGGAAUAUUGCACAAUGGGGGAAACCCUGAUGCAGCGACGCCGCGUGAGUGAAGAAGUAAUUCGUUACGUAAAGCUCUAUCAGCAGGGAAGAAAUACUGACCUUACGGUCAGCAGACGGUACCUGAGUAAGAAGCGCCGGCUAACUCCGUGCCAGCAGCCGCGGUAAUACGUAGGGGGCAAGCGUUAUCCGGAUUUACUGGGUGUAAAGGGAGCGUAGACGGUGCGGCAAGUCUGGAGUGAAAGGGCGCGGCUGAACUGCGGAACUGCUUUGGAAACUGGCGAACUAGAGUGCGAGAGCGGUAAGCGGAAUGCGUAGUGUAGCGGUGAAAUGCGUAGAUAU
Molecule: ribosomal RNA, 360 nt
Filed under: uncultured bacterium
Lineage: Bacteria
Description: partial 16S ribosomal RNA
Rfam family: Bacterial small subunit ribosomal RNA
Source: RNAcentral